AAAAUGCUCUGCUGAAGAGGGAUGAAACAGAGCUGUGUUUACCUGCAUUUGGAAUCCAUGGAUGCUCCCUACAGAAAGGCAGAAUGCCUGGCUGGAAUUCCGAGAGGGAUUAUUGCAAUAAUGACACUUUGCACCAACCAGAGCCUUUAUCAAGGAAUUACAGAGUGUUUGUCUGAAGGGUGAAAGGACUCCUGUCCCUAGUCUGGACUCACUGAUUCUGAGAGGCACAAACUCUGUACAUCUCCAGGAGAUUUUGGCUCUUUUGUACUGCUGCUGAAAAGAACUGUUCAUCUAGCUCAUGGCUUUUGAAGGGAGAGUCCUUUCAGCAAACUUUAGGAGGGAACAGCUGCUCAUAGUGAAAACAAGACUGUCCUGCUGAUCCAAGCUGAAAUGUGACAUGGAAGUGGGAUUUUUGACCUUGAAAGAUGCGUCCGUUGUGACGAAGUUGAUAUUAAAGACUAUCGAGCGGGAAAAGAGUUUGGGAAGCGGUGAGGUGAACGUGGACUUCCAGAAACCCAGGAGGCUUGCAGGGACAGGUCAGACAAUCCUUAGAAGCAAAGGAAGCAAGCACACGACAAAAGGAAAUUUUCCUUGUACCUAAUUACUGAAGUCUCCCUAUGGAAUUUAUUGUGAUGGCUGGACUCAUACAGUUGAUGGUAUUGAGAGUGCUUCCUGAAAGAACAACCUUAG
RNAcentral lists this long non-coding RNA (690 nucleotides) under Apteryx owenii (little spotted kiwi). RNAcentral describes it as "lncRNA (ENSAOWG00000010060.1)". The record is from RNAcentral. Lineage: Eukaryota; Metazoa; Chordata; Aves; Apterygiformes; Apterygidae.